This is a non-coding RNA of Podarcis lilfordi (Lilford's wall lizard), 2840 nucleotides long. Lineage: Eukaryota; Metazoa; Chordata; Lepidosauria; Squamata; Lacertidae. The record is from the annotation of a GenBank genome assembly.
GCCAGAUUUUAAAAUUUUCUUGGGGGUACCCUUACAUCAAGCUCCGAACGAGAAUCAAAACAUCACUUCUGUUACUGCUUUUAUCAAACGGUUCUAUCCAGAUCUGUCCAGAUAGUCUCUUUAUUACUUCUUCAUCUUCUUGUUGUUAUCAUGUAUUCCUUUCUUUGCAAUCUCUGAUAGUCUUUACAAGCAGGUUAGGAACAAACAACAUCUGCGUGGGUUUUGCACACUCCAAAAGUCAUAUCUCAUAAGGACAGCCGCCAUUCCUCCCCUUCUUCAAAGAUUUAUCCUCGGUCCGUCCUAUUAAUUUUCCCAAGCUUGCCACGUAUAUCACAAAGGGGCUCUGCCAGGUUAUCACAUUCAAUCCAUCAUUUACAUUCCAAUACCCUGGUCCUCCCCUCGUCUUUCUUCGACAAGUCUGUCUUAGCAAGACGCCAUUAAAAACUGCUUCAUAGAAUUUUUCCUCCGCACUCCAUAUUUACCAGUCCUCUCUUCAAUCAAUAAUUCACUCCACACAGCUCUUAAAUUCUUGCUUGCGAUUAGUAAAAGGGGACGAUUCGUCUCUCUGGGGUGGAGGUUUAUAAAUACUCACAUGAGACAAAGAAAAUAAAAGUUUUUUCCUCCACCCUCCCUCUUUUUUCGCUCCGCACAUACCAGUCUCAUAAUGGUGGUUCAUCGCUUGAUUUAUUUGUCUCCUCUCGUCGCUCCAAACACAGAGAUGCAUUAAUCAGCAGCCUUAUCUCUCGAACUUUGCUUGAUGUAAGUGCUUCAGCUUCAUUCCAAUUAUAUAUUUCCAAUUAUAUUUUCGAGCUGAAGCGAACCAGGGCGCUGAUUGGAGACAGCGUCAGGAAGCGCCGAACCCACCGAGGGCUGAUGCCAAAUGUCCUGCACCCCCUUCGACCUUUAGAAGACAUCUGAAGGCAGCCCUGUUUAGGGAAGCUUUUAAUGUUUAACAGACUAUUGUAUUUUAAUAUUUUGUUGGAGGCAAAUUGAUGCACAUGAGCUUUUCUCUGAUCUGUUGAUGCUGAUAGUGUGUUGUUUUGUAUACAUUUCAAUACUUAUUCAAUUUUUGAAAGCUGACUUAGUUCUGUGAAUUUUUGAAUAAUUAUUUAUAUAAUUGAUACCCUGUGUUUCCACUCCAAUGUCUUCAGGAUAGCUUGGAAUUCAAAAGUAGAGUGAUGCCAAAUAAAAUCCACAAAAAUUCAAGUGAAUGGUCUAAAAUUAGGCGCAGGACAAUAACAAAUUCAGUGGCAGCAAAACAAGCAGCCAAGAAACGGCCGAGCAAGAGCUGCUUUAUACCAAAUCAGAGCAUUGCCCCAUCUGGUUCAGUAUUGUGGACACUCUGGAGGCAGCAUCUCUCCAGGGUUUUGGACAAGCAUUUCCCCCAGCCCUUCCUGGUGUAGGGAAGUGAGAGAAUGCCAAUGAGAAUGGAAAAGGAAGUGGACAUUGCCGCAGUUUAUGUGUUUAUCUGUGGUCAGGAAUGGCAAGCGUCAACCGCAUUGCAGGGGGCUGGACUAGAUGACCCUUGGGGUGCCUUCCAACUCUACAAUUCUGUGAUUCUAUGAAUGUGAUCAACAUUCAUUUACAUUGUCAUUGCUCUUCUGAUGUUUGCAAAUGUAAUGGAAGACUUUUUUUUUACAUUGCUUUGAUGUUUCCUUUGCAUUGAAAUGCAUGUAAGGAACGUAAGUUAUGUAAAUAGUUAUGUACGCUAUGAACUAUAAUGUAGUAUUUGGCAGAAACAAAUGGCAGCAAAAUGGAAACAGCUCUAAUUGUGAUGAAUACAGAACAGGGCAGAAAUUGCUGCCUUCUCACAUGUCUAACCUGGAGACUGAACCUCGAUUUAACUAUGACUAAACCAAUGAUUGGCUCCGAACCACUGAUUGAACUGAACCUGGAACCUUCUGAGUGCAAAGCAGAUGCUCUGCCUCUGAGCUAUGACCUCGUGGAGGCAAAGGAAAUUAUCUUCCAUUGCAUCAGACCAUUGGCCCAUCUAACAGAAUUUUAUACAUUGACUGCAAUGGUUCUCCAGGAUUUCAGGCAGCAGGGUGUGUGUGUGGGGGGGACGACUGGUCUUUCCCAGUUAUAGCUGGAGAUACUGUGGAUUGAACCAGGAAUCUUCUGCAUGCAAAGAAGGUGCUCUACUGCUGAUGUGAUACACCAAAAGCUCAAGAGAAUAAGAAUGGUUUUAACUUGAUGCUUAAUGAGCAUAAGGGCAGGCGCUAGCUAAGUGUCUUCAAGCAAGGUGUUCCAUUGAGGUACCACAGGGCAGGUCCUAUCUCAGAUGGCCACCCUGAGCAGAUCCUCAGGUGAAAAUCUGAGGUAUCUAGAUACAGAGUUGGAAGGAACCUCACCUCAGAUGUCAUCUAGUGCAGGAAAUCGUCUUCUACAGCACCCCAGAUAAGUUGCCACCCACCCUUUGUAUCAAGUAAAGCAAAGUCUGCCACCUUUCAAUGCUAUCUGUUCCACUGCUGCCCAACAGCUCAUCCCACCAGUUUCUUCUUCCUGAUCUCUGCCUUGUUCAGCAGUCACAGUGGGCAAAGGCAGUCAGCAGUCAGAUGGAGGACCAAGAGAAUGUAGACUAGUUUAAGCCACAGGUUAAAGCACACCUAUGGGGUCUAUGGGACGUGGGUGGCGCUGUGGUCUAAACCACAGAGCCUAGGGCUUGCCGAUCAGAAGGUUGGCGGUUCGAAUUCCUGUGACAGGGUGAACUCCUGUUGCUCAGUCCCUGCUCCUGCCCACCUAGCAGUUCGAAAGCACAUCAAAGUGCAAGUAGAUAAAUAGGUACCGCUCCAGCGGGAAGGUAAACGGCAUUUCCAUGCGCUGCUCUGGUUUGCCAGAAG